This 252-nucleotide ribosomal RNA is filed under the name uncultured bacterium. RNAcentral describes it as "partial 16S ribosomal RNA". It matches the Rfam family "Bacterial small subunit ribosomal RNA", at positions 796 to 1041 of the family's 1533-position model. The record is from RNAcentral.
CUAGCCGUAAACGAUGGACACUAGGUGUUGGAGGCAUCAACCCCUUCAGUGCUGUUAUGCUAACGCGUUAAGUGUCCCGCCUGGGGAGUACGGCCGCAAGGUUGAAACUCAAAGGAAUUGACGGGGGCCCGCACAAGCGGUGGAGCAUGUGGGUUAAUGGGAUGAUACGCCAAGAACCUUACCAGGACUUGACAUUAUGGGAAAAGCCGGUGAAAGUCGGUGUGCCGAGCAAUCGGCGUCCAUAACAGGUGG